This 74-nucleotide transfer RNA is filed under the name Halimeda minima. RNAcentral's name for it is "tRNA-Trp". It matches the Rfam family "tRNA". From Rfam's summary of the family: Transfer RNA (tRNA) molecules are approximately 80 nucleotides in length. The record is from RNAcentral. Lineage: Eukaryota; Viridiplantae; Chlorophyta; Ulvophyceae; Bryopsidales; Halimedaceae.
GCAUCCUUAGUUCAGUUUGGUAGAACGUAGGUUUCCAAAAUCUAAUGCCGUGGGUUCAAAUCCUACAGGAUGCG